RNAcentral lists this ribosomal RNA (377 nucleotides) under uncultured eukaryote. RNAcentral's name for it is "partial 18S ribosomal RNA". It matches the Rfam family "Eukaryotic small subunit ribosomal RNA", at positions 592 to 976 of the family's 1831-position model. The record is from RNAcentral.
CAAUAGCGUAUAUUUAAGUUGCUGCAGUUAAAAAGCUCGUAGUUGGAUUUCGGGUGGGAAUGGCCGGUCCGCCGUUUCGGUGUGCACUUGCUACGCCCACCUUGCUGCUGGGGACGUGCUCUUGAGUUCACGCUCGGGACACGGAGUCGGCGAGGUUACUUUGAGUAAAUUAGAGUGUUCAAAGCAGGCCUACGCUCUGAAUACAUUAGCAUGGAAUAACACGAUAGGACUCUGGCCUAUCUUGUUGGUCUGUAGGACCGGAGUAAUGAUCAAGAGGGACAGUCGGGGGCAUUCGUAUUUCAUUGUCAGAGGUGAAAUUCUUGGAUUUAUGAAAGACGAACUACUGCGAAAGCAUUUGCCAAGGAUGUUUUCAUUAA